UUUCUACUUAGCUUCAUCUCCUGAUGCACAUUACUAGUGGGAUGGCUGACUAUUAGAAUGAACUAAUCCCUCUUCCAGCAUUGUGAAUCCAUCUAAAGGAUGCCUGAAGGUGAAGAGGAAAUGAAAUGCCUUACACUCUGCAGAGUGUUCUGUGGAAAGUCCUGAUAAUCAGCCAGGGCCGCUUGAAAGACCAUUUCUAACACAGCUGCUGAUGAUUUCAACGUCUGUGUGGACUAGGUGUGAUGUUUAUCUGGACUCUAAAGAAUAUACGAAUUGCUUUGAUGCUUGUGCUAAGGUGACAUCACUGCACAGGACACAGAUGGGAAAGUUAAAGCUCAGGGAAGUGAAUUAAUUCCACAAUCAUCUUUCAAUUUUGUCAAAAGAAUAAACCCUUUUUUGUUUU
Long non-coding RNA from Equus quagga, 403 nucleotides. RefSeq lists it as uncharacterized. The record is from RefSeq and is a predicted model, not a curated record. The transcript has 3 exons. Lineage: Eukaryota; Metazoa; Chordata; Mammalia; Perissodactyla; Equidae.